CACACACACACACACACACAAAUAUUAAUAUCAAUAAUUAUCGAUAAAUGCAGAGCUUGUUACCAAGUUCAAGAAAUGAAGAUCCACACAGAUACCAGAUGGCGUACUAAGCUACACAUACCUCCCUCUAUUCGAAACUGAUGAUUCUUCUGAACGUGGCCAUUGGUCCUUGCCUCUAGAACACAACGUCUCAAGUAUUGCAAUAACCAAUCAAUUUACAGCUUUUCCCUAAAAUGAAAGAUCUACUGUUUUUUAGAUAGACUUUUUUUCUCCACCUUUUAUCCUCCUUCCUUUUCUCUCCGACAUGUAAAGAGAAGGAGAAACGAUGAACUAUAUGCAUGAAAUUCAGCUGAAAAGAACUAGAAUCCCUAGGGAUUCUGAAAAAAAAACAGACCUAAAGAUAAAGACGUUCCCACAAAAAUAUCGCGAGCGUCAAAUGGAACGUAGCUUAAGCCGAUGGCGCUGCCGUCGCUGGGUAUCGAUACUAACGCUUGCGAUUCUCGAAGUGAAGACUUGAAUAUUUUCGCGGCGAAGCAUGGACUUUUCUACGGGAUGCGGUAAUGUGACCCGCGUUUUGUUACUGGCUUCGUCGGCUUUCUGAGGACGUUUGAACGAGACAUAUAUGAACGUGACGUACAUACGCGUGCAUUCCUGUGUGCAGGUAACAAAUAUAAAAAUAAUAUUGUGUCAGUGUGCAAAAAAACUACAGGAUGGAAAAGAUGAACUUGAACGGUAAAUUAUGGAAAGAUCACCUCAUCACCGCAUUCAUUACGCAUGAUAAUUCUUUCGAUGUAUCCUUUUCCUAUCCUACUAUAAUAGGUUGGCUUGCAUAUAUCUGCAGCGCUUUCACACAAUUCGUCUAUGAUGUAGUGAAGAAAAGUACUGUAUAACGAUGUUUCUGGAUAAAAAGAAACAUUAGGGUCAUGAAAGUAUGUGCCUUCGAGUCAGACGUAUAAAGGAUUUUAUUUAGUGGAGAAGAGGUUUGAGAAGUGGUUUUCACAAAGUGUUACUCAACAUAUGUUAAUACUAUUAAGUAAUAAUUACAAACAAAAUGACAAAAAAAA
This is a long non-coding RNA of Pogonomyrmex barbatus (red harvester ant), 1064 nucleotides long. The record is from RefSeq and is a predicted model, not a curated record. Lineage: Eukaryota; Metazoa; Arthropoda; Insecta; Hymenoptera; Formicidae.